GACACUUUGGCCGAGUGGUUAAGGCGGUGCCCUGCUACUCUGAAAAGUGAGUAAGGCAUUACAUUCGUGUGCGUAGGUUCGAAUCCUGCAGGUGUCG
This 97-nucleotide transfer RNA is filed under the name Ustilaginoidea virens. It matches the Rfam family "tRNA". Rfam says of the family: Transfer RNA (tRNA) molecules are approximately 80 nucleotides in length. Their secondary structure includes four short double-helical elements and three loops (D, anti-codon, and T loops). Further hydrogen bonds mediate the characteristic L-shaped molecular structure. tRNAs have two regions of fundamental functional importance: the anti-codon, which is responsible for specific mRNA codon recognition, and the 3' end, to which the tRNAs corresponding amino acid is attached (by aminoacyl-tRNA synthetases). tRNAs cope with the degeneracy of the genetic code in two manners: having more than one tRNA (with a specific anti-codon) for a particular amino acid; and 'wobble' base-pairing, i.e. permitting non-standard base-pairing at the 3rd anti-codon position. Lineage: Eukaryota; Fungi; Ascomycota; Sordariomycetes; Hypocreales; Clavicipitaceae. The record is from Rfam by way of RNAcentral.